AUGCCAAUGGCACUGCCCGGUAGCUAAAUGCGGAAGAGAUAAGUGCUGAAAGCAUCUAAGCACGAAACUUGCCCCGAGAUGAGUUCUCCCUGACUCCUUGAGAGUCCUGAAGGAACGUUGAAGACGACGACGUUGAUAGGCCGGAUGUGUAAGCGCAGCGAUGCGUUGAGCUAACCGGUACUAAUGAACCGUGAGGCUUAACCUU
Molecule: ribosomal RNA, 205 nt
Filed under: Escherichia coli
Lineage: Bacteria; Pseudomonadati; Pseudomonadota; Gammaproteobacteria; Enterobacterales; Enterobacteriaceae
Description: partial 23S ribosomal RNA
Rfam family: Bacterial large subunit ribosomal RNA
Source: RNAcentral